RNAcentral lists this transfer RNA (72 nucleotides) under Camelus bactrianus (Bactrian camel). It matches the Rfam family "tRNA". From Rfam's summary of the family: Transfer RNA (tRNA) molecules are approximately 80 nucleotides in length. RNAcentral also lists the same sequence under 2 other names. Lineage: Eukaryota; Metazoa; Chordata; Mammalia; Artiodactyla; Camelidae. The record is from Rfam by way of RNAcentral.
GAGGGCGCAGCUCAGUGGUAGAGCACGUGCUUAGCAGGCGUGAGGUCCUGGGUUCCAUCCCCAGUCCCUCCA